UACGUAGGUGGCAAGCGUUGUCCGGAUUUACUGGGCGUAAAGGGCUUGUAGGCGGUCCGCUAAGUCCGAUGUGAAAUCUCCCGGCUCAACCGGGAUAGGUCAUUGGAUACUGGCGGACUAGUGGGGGGUAGAGGAAGGCAGAAUUCCAGGUGUAGCGGUGAAAUGCGUAGAGAUCUGGAGGAAUACCGGUGGCGAAGGCGGCCUGCUGGACAUUAACUGACGCUGAGGAGCGAAAGCGUGGGGAGCAAAC
Molecule: ribosomal RNA, 250 nt
Filed under: uncultured bacterium
Lineage: Bacteria
Description: partial 16S ribosomal RNA
Rfam family: Bacterial small subunit ribosomal RNA
Source: RNAcentral